AUCAAAUCCCCGCCACAACACAACCGCCUCCGUCGAUGGUGACUGAGACGGAGAAGGUUACAGUCGAGCGUCACUGUGCUGCGAAAGGUAAAGGCUUGAAUUGCUUGGUUCCGCCUCCUAAAGGUUACCAUCAGCUGGUUCCAUGGCCUAAAAGCCGUGACGAGGUAACUCCUUUGUUUGCAAUCUCUUGUUAGAGUUUAUUGGCUAACUAAAGCUUAAUAGCAAAGCUCAAGUGGAUUAAGCUUAGAAUCAGAAUGUAAUAAGCCUAAGUAGAUUGGAUUAAGCUCAAUAUUCACUUGUAUUGCAUUUUGGUUGGAAAACUCUGAUCUUGGGAUUAGCUUAAGUGUUGCCCAAAAAAAAAAGGGAUUAGCUUAAGUAGAUUAAGUGAUGUCGAAUUUGGAUUUGCAGAUUUCUUAAAAUAGCUACAAUUACAAGUAUCUUCAGUUAGAGGUGCCAAGGUUGUUACUGAUCCAAGUAAUGGGCGAUCAAAAGGUUAUGGAUUUGUUAAAUUUGCAGAGGAAAGUGAAAGGAACCGGGCCAUGGCUGAAAAUGAAAUGAAUGGUUUGUAUUGCUCAACAAGGCGUAUUAUCAGUAUUGUUAAGAACUUAGCCAACGUUGAUAUCUUCUUCUGUGUUUGCCUUUGACUGGUUUUGUAAAAUAUAUUGGACCGGAGUCGAGAGCAUGAAGAGUGCCACUAUAUUAUGUAAGUGAUAUGACUAGUACCUGAAGAAAGAAGAAAGAGGUUCAAGCGGAAAGUUAUGUUGAUCGUCAAUGUCGCUUCAAGGUUCUUUCUUCAUUGUCUUGAUUGCCAAGGUGGGACAAUCGAACUUCAGCAUUAACACCGGAGAAAGAGAUAUUCUACCUAGUGGCGAUCCUAACAUCGGCAGUGAAUGUAGUAACAUUAGUGAAUGUUUGUAUUGCUCAACAAGGUCAUGUGAAUGUAGUAACAUUAGUGAUAAUCAAAUAUGACAAAAGUUGGUAUCCUUUACAUUGUAGAUGUUUGUUUUGUAGUUUAGGUUGAAAUUUGUAGGGUUUUUUUUGUACUUGUAUUGCAGGUUCUGUUUUUAAAACU
Molecule: non-coding RNA, 1072 nt
Organism: Camelina sativa (false flax)
Lineage: Eukaryota; Viridiplantae; Streptophyta; Magnoliopsida; Brassicales; Brassicaceae
Source: RefSeq, a predicted model, not a curated record